Molecule: non-coding RNA, 2813 nt
Organism: Paramuricea clavata
Lineage: Eukaryota; Metazoa; Cnidaria; Anthozoa; Malacalcyonacea; Plexauridae
Source: the annotation of a GenBank genome assembly
UUAAAGGGGGACCAAUUAACACCAGGGAUUGUUACAGCAGUGACAUUAUCAUGUGCGGCAAUGUAUCAAAACUCUGGACUAAAUAAGGAUGGUCCAUCGUCUGCUGAACUUUCUAGGAAGGUACUUGAACAUUUGAAGUAUGCACCAAGGUGUCAAGAACAAGUAGGAAUGGAACACAAGGCGUACAUCUUUUUGGCAACAUUUCAUCUUGGGUAUGAUAUGUCAGGAAAGAUAAUCGAGAAGCAUGUGAAUCAAUCAAGGCUGGAAACAGCAAAGUCUAGCCUAAUGGCGUUAAAUAAGUCGGUAUGUAGUGGGUAUUCGCUCAGUCGAUAUCGUGAAGUUCAGUUAAAUUUGGUAAAGUCGACCCUUUAUUAUCGGUAUGCCCAAGUUAAUCCAGAAAAAAACGAAGUAUUCCUAGAAGAAGCGUUUCAAUUCUCUAAGAAAGCUCAACAUCUUGCCAGAGCUUCUAACUUUGAUGAAAUGGUUACAUGGGCCAAUGUUAGUGUAGCUUUGUACACUGAAAAAUUAGUCCUUGCAAGCUUGGCGAAAAUGGAUUGGGUAAAGAAGAUAUUUAUAUCGGUAAGUAAAAAGUGAGUGUUUGCCUGAUUGCAUAUGUUUUCAACGAGCGGAAAAGAGUAUACAUACCUUCUGGUACAACCAAUCUUGACAUAAAAUUGUUGACAUUUAAUUCGUUUUUAUUGAUAAAAAAGUUAAACUAAAUUCAUUUUUUUAGAAAUUGGAAGAUUAUAUUUCCUAAAACUGUGUCCGCCAGUAAAAUAUCUGCUGCUUGAUUCCUUUGCACACCACAAUUUAAUCCAGAUAAUUUUAUGCUCAUUGCAUGUUUGCAUGGCGAUAAAAUAUUUAUUUUGAUUUGUAGAAACACCGCGUAUAUUUUUAAUAUUGCAAGCCUUUCCAUUUGUAAGCUCGGAUCUUGGUCAGUGCUAAUAGCAGCCUAGAACCUAGGCCUUUACUCGACUCCACUUGGCAGGUUUGGUUAAUUUUGGUCUAGCAUUUGGCAAGAAUGACAUCACAGACAGUCCAGUCUUCGGAUGUAUAAAAGCAAAUUACAAAGAUAAUGUGAAAGAAUUCCCCAUUCCAAAAUUCCGCCAGAUACCCUGGAUAUUUGAAAUGACGUGAAGAUCCUUGUUACGGAUCGAAAGCUUUUCAAUAAUAAAUAUACGUGGAGUUUCCACGAACCAAAACAAAUGUUCUAAAUAAUUAAGCCAAAAUUUUCCUUGUUUAAGCAUUUAUAUUAUAGUUUGAAAUGAUAACAAACGGAAUGGGUUAGAAUAAAUACCAUAACUAGAAAUAUCACAAUACUGAGUUGUAAUCAUAGUAGUUUAUAUUAUAGGUGGGUUUCAAACAAUCCCACGAGACUUUAACACAAGGAUAAUGGAGGUUCAAGAUUCAAAUGAGCACUGAACUCUCUGAAACUCUCAAGGUGAUGCAGAUGUGUUUUGGAUGUCUGAACUGGGAACUGCAUGUGUCUAUCAAGAUUGCUUCACCAGAAGCAACCACAUAAAUAGCACAUGUGGUAACAAUAAUAACAUGGUCCUUCCAAAAGUAAAAACAGAACCUGUGUGGAAAUGUUCUUUGGCGUUCGCUGGACCAAGAAUUAACAAUCUUCUGAAUAUGAAAACUCAACAUUAACGUCUAAAACUACUUGAAAAUAGUGUUGACAUUUGCGAUUCUUAAUUAUGAGAAUAAUUAGAUGAAUCACUAUUAGGGAUGGACCAUUUGAAAAGGAACGGGGCGGGGUAGGAACCGAAAAAUCCAUACAAGCAAAAUAUUUUAAAACAUACUACCCCCGCGCCUCCCUUCACUUCUCUAAUGGUGCGUCCCUUACAUUAAUGGACUUGUUUUAAUGACUUUUGUGAAGCAAUAUCAGAUUCUUGGUUGAUAACUAUAAAAAUGUACUAUUGAACAAGCUAACCUCAUAUGUAAUAUCAAUAGUGUGAAUUAAUUAAUACACACUUCCGAAAAGUACUCGGCCUUCGCUAUGCUUCGUUUUCGUGAGUUCACAAGUCAUCAGGUAUAUUUGUCUCCCUCUAGUUUGAUCAAUAACCACUACCCUUAGAUACCAGUUUAUAAUACCAGUCCAGCCUUGUUCCGAGCCUUUCCGCCCCUCCCCAAAAGUCUGAGACUCCCUCAAUCUGCAAACCUUGUCAAAAUACCACCCUAAAAUAGUGAGGCGGAAGCGAAUAGGCAAGGAACCAGGCUGUUACCAUUAUCAUAUCUUCCAUCACACUCUUGCAGUCUAUUUUAUCCCUUAAUGUUCAUCAUUGUCCUUGUUGUCACUAGGCAUUCAUUGUAAGCACGCGUGCAUACCACAGCGGCCUGCGUAUUGUGGGUACAAGCUACUGUACAUAACUUCAUUAAUGCAUUAUGUAACUCCCAAAUUUUAGGAAACAUAAUAAAAGUCGACCUCGUACCCAGGGUUUUUCCUAUUGGGGAGAAAAGACCCUGGUAUAGACGUGAUCUGCUAAAAGCUAGAAGAUUUGUAAAAAACUAUCUUGGAUUCCUUUACAAUCAUACAAAAUGCAAAUUAUAAAUUAAACUAUAAAAAUCAUCCAAAUAUAAAAUAUUUAUUAACCUCAUCUUGGAUUGCUAAUUAAAAAUCUGCUAGAUUUUAGCAGAUCAUGUGACCAAUGUCUACCAGGGUCUUUUCUCCCCCAAGAGGAAAGACCCUGGGUACGAGAUUGAAUAAAAGAUUUGGAACCACUCCAUAAAAGGAUGGCGGCAAUUUGGAUGAUUAAUAUUUGCCUGUCUUUUGUUUGUCUGAGCUGAAUCCCCUUGUUAUAUAGAUAUAGUAC